CCUACGGGAGGCAGCAGUGGGGAAUAUUGCGCAAUGGGCGAAAGCCUGAACCAGCCAAGUAGCGUGAAGGAUGACUGCCCUACGGGUUGUAAACUUCUUUUAUAAAGGAAUAAAGUGAAGCACGUGUGCCUUUUUGUAUGUACUUUAUGAAUAAGGAUCGGCUAACUCCGUGCCAGCAGCCGCGGUAAUACGGAGGAUCCGAGCGUUAUCCGGAUUUAUUGGGUUUAAAGGGAGCGUAGAUGGGUUGUUAAGUCAGUUGUGAAAGUUUGCGGCUCAACCGUAAAAUUGCAAUUGAUACUGGCAGCCUUGAGUACAGUUGAGGUAGGCGGAAUUCGUGGUGUAGCGGUGAAAUGCUUAGAUAUCACGAAGAACUCCGAUUGCGAAGGCAGCUUACUAAACUGCCACUGACAUUGAUGCUCGAAAGUGUGGGUAUCAAACAGGAUUAGAUACCCUGGUAGUC
Molecule: ribosomal RNA, 460 nt
Filed under: uncultured bacterium
Lineage: Bacteria
Description: partial 16S ribosomal RNA
Rfam family: Bacterial small subunit ribosomal RNA
Source: RNAcentral